GUGUAUGUUUUAAAUCUAGUGGCUUAAUGAAGGCUAUUUACAUGCAGGAAACUAUCUGCAUUCAUGAGAAUAGACUCGAUUCUUCUGGCCAUAAAUAAAUGGAAUAUAACUGUAUUAUCUAAUCCCCUAGCUGGGGUCUUAGCUGUGGUGGCACUGCCGUUUGCUGGCAGGAGCCAUAACUAAGUUGGUUGGUUUGUGUAGGGGUCGUUAAGAGAGUCACUGCGCAGUUUACACGGUCAGCACUGCUGUUCUGAGAAACAGUGUUAACCCACCAGUCACUUUCUGAUAGUCAUGUGUGUCCCAUUCUCAGCCCACUGUGUGAGGGUGAAAAAUAGCAACGGGGAAUAACAACCAAGUCUUAGCUUUUUAAAGUCGGG
Molecule: long non-coding RNA, 377 nt
Filed under: Androctonus crassicauda
Lineage: Eukaryota; Metazoa; Arthropoda; Arachnida; Scorpiones; Buthidae
Source: RNAcentral